AUAGAGAUUGGGAGUGCUCGAAAGAGAACCUGGGCACAGGUGCUGCAUGGCCGUCGUCAGCUCGUGUCGUGAGAUGUUGGGUUAAGUCCCGCAACGAGCGCAACCCUUGUCAUUAGUUGCUACGAAAGGGCACUCUAAUGAGACUGCCGGUGACAAACCGGAGGAAGGUGGGGAUGACGUCAGGUCCUCAUGGCCCUUAUGGGUAGGGCUACACACGUCAUACAAUGGCCGGUACAGAGGGUUGCCAACCCGCGAGGGGGAGCCAAUCCCAGAAAACCGGUCGUAGUCCGGAUUGCAGUCUGCAACUCGACUGCAUGAAGUCGGAAUCGCUAGUAAUCGCGGAUCAGCUUGCCGCGGUGAAUACGUUCCCGGGUCUUGUACACACCGCCCGUCACACCAUGGGAGCGGGUUCUGCCAGAAGUAGUUAGCCUAACCGCAAGGAGGGCGAUUACCACGGCAGGGUUCGUGACUGGGGUGAAGUCGUAACAAGGUAACCGU
Molecule: ribosomal RNA, 498 nt
Filed under: uncultured Comamonadaceae bacterium
Lineage: Bacteria; Pseudomonadati; Pseudomonadota; Betaproteobacteria; Burkholderiales; Comamonadaceae
Description: bacterial SSU rRNA
Rfam family: Bacterial small subunit ribosomal RNA
Source: RNAcentral